CCCUUAGACGUCCUGGGCCGCACGCGUGCUACACUGAUACGUACAACAAGGUAUAUGCAUUCAUGCAUCGAUGCUGCUCCGAAAUAGACACAGCUAAAUCUUCUAAAAUACGUAUCGUGCUGCGGAUAGAUCGUUGAAAUUAUGGAUCUUGAAGGUGGAAUUCCUAGUAAGCGCGGGUCAUCAACCCGCGUUGAUUACGUCCCUGCCCUUUGUACACACCGCCCGUCGCUCCUACCAAUUUCGAGUGGCUCGGUGAACCUCUUUGGACUGUCGAGCAAUCGCGAAAUUAGAGUGAACCUGGUCACUUAGAGGAAGGAGAANUCGUANCA
This 329-nucleotide ribosomal RNA is filed under the name uncultured eukaryote. RNAcentral describes it as "partial 18S ribosomal RNA". It matches the Rfam family "Eukaryotic small subunit ribosomal RNA", at positions 1470 to 1796 of the family's 1831-position model. The record is from RNAcentral.